UUACAGUCGACCAGCAACAAUCACUCACGUUGUAUCACCAACGUCCACCAGUUAGUCACGAGAGUGAACAGAUAAGUGAGUGCCUCCGCCACCCAUUUGAACAUUAUUGUAUGAUCACGUUUCGAUGAAUUAACGCUGCUUUGAAAGGGAUCUCACGAACCAAGUAUACUAAUGGUCCAUAAGAGGAGGUGAAGAACCCUUUUAUGGAUGUAUGUAAGGUGGCGUAUGGUCUAGUGGCAGUGAACAGCGAAACCCUCAGUAACUGUGGUAUGAACACCUGCUAGGGAUGACGGGGAAGCAUUUACCAUCAUGGAAAAUCAACUUUUUACUCCAAAUCACAAAGAUUGGUGUGCUAUCGGCAGCACCUUCGUUGUCAGUUGCAUUCUUUGCAUCGCAGGCAUACUUCUCAUGGUCUACAGAGAUGUCAGCACAGGCGUUGUCUUCCUCUUCGUUGGUGGUACCAUACUAGUGUUGAGUGUGUGCGCCUUCCUAGGUAAGUUCAAUUCAGCUGAUAAACAGCCAGAGGACCGGCCCCCAUCUUACAGAAUCUCGUGGCGACGCUCUUUCCUGCGGCGCAUCCGACAAUCCAACAACCUACAGGAACCUGCACUACAAGUAGACGUCGUUCCACCGGCGACAUCAAACUCCAGCCGAGGCUUGCCAGACCAUUAUUAUGAAUUCCAUCUAUCUGCCAGCAGCCUCCAAGCUGAUGAUAGAAAUGCGUUGGGAUUUAUGCCUCAUACCAGACAAACACGAUCUCUCAAUAAUCUCAUAGAUCCCCCGAGUUACGAAGAUGUCUUGACAACCAUGGACGAAACAGCAAAACGCAAACUGAAAUCAGAGCUGUGUUUAGCCUCCUCUCGCUUUUAGCAUCGCUGACAUCAAGUUUGAGAGGGACAAGUGACAUCUAAAUAAAUCCGAAAUUAUCAUACUUUUCUAUUAAUUUAUUUUUCAUUACCCUCCUUUCCUGAUUUUGUCAGUUAUAUAAAAAAAAAAAUAGUCGUAUAUCACUUGAUCAUUGGUAUUAGUAGUACAAUUUCCUCAGCGUCACAUAACUGACCGGUGCUUGCAUCACGACCUUCACAACCAUAACUAUAUCAGGGGCGUAGCUAGAGGGUGGUCCAUAGGGUCUAGGUUCUCCCUUUGCUCAAUUAAAUUUAAUUAUGCACUUCAGGAAAACGAAAGAUAGCUUUUGACUACAAACGCUCCACAUUGACACCCACAGUGACUCACAGAUUUGAGGACUUGGACAGUCAUACACUGCAGAAUCUUCGUGUAUGAUGUUUUCCAUUUUCUCUCUCUCUCUCUCUCUCUCUCUCUCUCUCUCUCUCUCUCUCUCUCUCUCUCUCUCUCUCUCUCUCUCUCCAUUCCAUAAGUAACUGUAUUGUUGAAUAUGUUUGGAGUUUGCGGGUAAGACACUUAUAUUGAAAUGUUUUCUGCUAUGAUGAGAUUAGAAAAGAAGAAAAAUUAAGGCAAGUUCUAGCCGGUUAUGGUAUUUUCAUCCUGUAUUUAUUGCCCCCAAUUCGUGGUCACUGGUCACCUGCGUUGUUGAAUAUACUUACCGACAUAUGAGACUAAAUUUGCUUAUCUAUCUAUCUAUCUAUCUAUCUGUCUGUCUGUCUGCCUAUCUAUCUGUUUAGUUAGUUGAUUUGUUUGUUAGUUAUGUAUUUAUCAUGUGUGUCGCUUCUAUCUUGAGUCAAGUCAGGAACUGUGAGUUCAUAUGGGAGAGGGAAACUUAAGACUUCACCACGACGAUGUAACUUGCCAUGGUGAGUAUGGGGAGUGCAUGUGUACGUUACCUACUACCUCCAUAACCUGAACCGCGUAAUGCUUAUUGCUGGGGAUCAACAAUGUCGAAAAAAUAAAAAUAAAAUAUUUGAUGGAUGGACAGUGGUUUUGUAUACAGUGACAUACACACACACACAAAUAAUUGUGUGUGUGUGUGUGUGUGUGUGUGUGUGUGUGUGUGUGUGUGUGUGUGUGUGUGUGAAGAGAGAGAGAGAGAGAGAGAGAGAGAGAGAGAGAGAGAGAGAGAGAGAGAGAGAGAGAGAGAGAGAGAGAGAGAGAGAGAGAGAGAGAGAGAGAGAUAAUUAUGUUAAUAUAGUAUUUUUCAUCCAAAAUAGUUUAUCUUAGCUCCUAAAAUCUAUGUAUUUUUAGGUCUAGCCCCUCCACUCCAGGAAAAUCUCGGCUACGUAUAUGACUAUAGUCUAGAUUUGUCAAUCCUUAAUGGAUGCUUGAUGUAAUUUCGAUCUGUAACUUGUAUGAAGUAUUAUGAAUAUAUACCCAUGAGAUACCGACUGCGAUCGACAUACUACCUGAAAGUCUAGCCUCCACACAUCCACCCCACACAUUGGCAGCACAUUAUACCAACACAAUACAUUCUGCAUUACGAGCUGUUUCAAAUGUCUACUUUCAUUUCCUUUGUCACACCUGAAGUUGAAGAGAAGAGGCGAUGAAUUAGAAGUUUCAGUCAUUGAUGAUGAAAAACGUUAAACGCAAGGAACUGUACUGUUUGCUCAGAUGUAUAUUGUUGGAUGUGAGAGACUUAUGAAUAUGUUAAAAAUAUGUUUCUUCUAAUAAGUUCUUUUUAUUAUUAAAACUGUAUAUACUUGUUAUCGCCACUUUCUUGGGGCGAUCAGUGCAGGAUAAUGAGACCCAUUUCACGCUGACUCUAUGUAUUGAAUCGGUCAAAACCUGGGAAUAUGAACAAGUUCUCAUAAAGACAAAUAUAUAUUGGUAACUUAACAGUUUGAGCUUUACGGAAAUAAGAUUAUAGGUUUACGUUACUACAUACAUUGGUAACUUAACAGUCUCAGCCUUACAGAAUAAGAUUACAAAUUGUGCUACCGCACACUCUUACAUAAACAGGACAUAUAUGUCACACUGAGUACGUUGUAGUCAAGACACUCACGUGUUGGCGGGUCAUUUAACUCCUGUAGACUGGAAGUCACUCUCAAUGCGAGACGCUCGUUCACGACGUCUGCUCCCCUCUACAGUAUACCAGCUUCUGCCCCAGGGCAGGGCAGAGUUGGGUGUCCCCUACACAUGUUUCUUGUGUGGAGUCUUUGAAGUCCCUAUCUGACUUUCAUUAACCCGGCCGAGGCUAACUUUAUCAGGUCAGCAAAAUAUCUUCUUUCCAUCCCAUCCACUACCAUCCACAGUGCUCUCUCUCUCUCUCUCUCUCUGGCAGUAACAAUGCUUUGUAUGCAUAUUAUGCAAAAUGUAGAACACCUCGUGAACUCAAGUGGGUACGGGUUUGGUGACAUCACAGGAGUUGCUGCUUUUGAGAUGUCUCGCUUGCUGCACGAGCCGAGGACAAAGUUGUGGCUACCAACAUUCAAAUGGCCGACAAACGGCAGCUCUUAUCCUGCCACGUUUGUCCUGAGAGACUCCAAGGCGACUUUUUUACGGCCCAUACAGACCUGCAGAUGACCCUCACCCUGAGGAGCAACAACGCAUGUGACCCUAGGAGCCAGUUCUUCUAGGGGGUGACAAGUGCGUCCUGAAGCAGUGCAUGUGACAACAUCAAUGACUGCAGUAGUGGAGAGAGUGUCUUCCAAGACCGCCUGCAACUUCCUGUUAAUCUCCAGGGAGAGCUCAAGAGUCAUGGUACCGUCCCGAGGUGCUGAUCCAUACACUGAUGCCAUGAUACCACCAUGCCGCAUUAACUCAGCCUAGGAAAUGACAAAGUGGAUUUUAAUUUGUAUAAAUUCUAUGCUUAUAUAUAUAUAUAUAUAUAUAUAUAUAUAUAUAUAUAUAUAUAUAUAUAUAUAUAUAUAUAUAUAUAUAUAUUAAUAAGAAUAUAUAAGAAUCAAUAAGUACCUUAAGAAAGUAUACUUUGGAAUUGCAAUAGUAUUUGAUUAUGCAACCAGUGUUGAAGGACACACCUGUUUCUUUGAACCUGGUGGUAUCCUAGUAGCAGCAUUGGAAGACUGAUGUAAAAUUGUUAUUAAUAAACUGAAAGUUAGGUUGAUUUCAUAAUUCAUUAAGUAAAUUUAUCCCUUGGAUGAUGAAUUUUACACAAUACCUGGAUUAACAAGGCAAGUUUCUCAUUACAGGUGAUUUAAAUUAAUGCAUAGAUCUUCACAUUUAUUUUUGUCUUUGCUGACUGUAUGUAUGUGUGUGUGUGUGUGUGUGUGUGUGUGUGUGUGUGUGUGUGUGUGUGUGUGUGUGUGUGUGUGUGUGUGUGUGUGUGUUUUGUGGGGGUUCCAAACUGAGGGAAAUUACCUCCUUGGAGUAAUAUAAAAAUUUUUGGGGAGUAAUAGAGGAGUGACAAAAAAGUGAAGAAUUCUGGAAUUCAAGAAAACAUGCCACUAUCUGGAAUUAGGAUUAAUGUUAACUUAGUAUGUAGUUAUAAAGUAAACCUAUUAUAAUUAAUAAAGUCAAACCAAACAUUAAAAACUAUAAUAUGUACAGUAUUAAAAAGAAGGAAAA
Molecule: RNA transcript, 4434 nt
Organism: Scylla paramamosain (green mud crab)
Lineage: Eukaryota; Metazoa; Arthropoda; Malacostraca; Decapoda; Portunidae
Exons: 8
Source: RefSeq, a predicted model, not a curated record